Hippoglossus stenolepis (Pacific halibut) is the source of this 4863-nucleotide long non-coding RNA. RefSeq lists it as uncharacterized. The transcript is spliced from 8 exons. Lineage: Eukaryota; Metazoa; Chordata; Actinopteri; Pleuronectiformes; Pleuronectidae. The record is from RefSeq and is a predicted model, not a curated record.
UUCUCAUAGCUGUGAGGAACUCUGCAGAGGCAAGCCACGUCUCCAUGUCUCUCACUCUUGUCUCCUGUCUUUCAGAAUGCAGGCUGUGCGGUUGAAAUACAGAGAUCAUCAGGAGUACAUCUGUUAUGAGGCACAACUGACCUUUAAAUCCUUUUUGGAUUGUGUUGCCAGGAAAUUUGACCUUCCAACCUUGGACUUAAAGGUUUAUGAUGAAUCAAACACUGAAGUUGACGAGGAGGUGUUUGAGUUUCUUUUAAAGAAACAAGACAUCGGUGUCCUGGAGUGAUGAUCGAAGGCUUUCUGAAGAACAAACUGGAGGAGAGAGGAUCAUGAAUGAGUAUGCUCGGGCAAAAAGUCUAACGGAUAGCAGAAGACGCGAUAUGGUCAAGAUUCUUGAAUCACCUCUGUGUCACUGAAGGUUGGGCUGAGGCUACAGUGAACCAGGUGAAGUACAGUACUGGAAACAUUUGAAUAAUACAAUUUGUAAGGAAUGAAAUUGGAAUGGGAUUAUAGAGGACAAUUGUCAGACCUAAUAGCCAUCCCCACAGAGUUUCCAUGCAUUGUUUCUUAUAUCAUCAGUGACAAUGUCAUAGUUGUUCACAGGAGACAAAUUCAGAUAAGAAAGCUGGCUAACCACAGCCUUUGCUGUCAGGCCAUUGCACUGAUGAAGCAGUUGUAAAGGAGAAGAUGAAGCAGACAUUCGCCUAUCGCCAACAGAUGGUUCUGGACCCAGUGAAGUCCUCUGAAAUAUUCGCAGCGUUUCAAAGAUUCUUGGACAUAGCAGGAAUGGUAUGUGAAUCGUGUCAGUUUGUUUUCUGUACUACAAUAGUCUGGAUAUGGCUGUUAUAUCUGUCAAAAGUUCCACACCAUAACAUUUACUAUUCUGUCUUGACUUAUGCUAUCCUGUGUACAGAUUGAGCAGGAUUUCAGUCUGAUGCUGCCUCUGCAAAGUUACUGGAGAAGUGGCCUAAUGUUUACAAGCAGAAAGUCCUUGAACAAAGCCGUGGUCUCGCACAGACAGGCGAGCUUUAAGACCUGGUUCAAAAUGCCGAAUCCACAUUGGAAAUAGAAAAUGGUAAUGGUUCCAUACUAAAACAGUUCUUGUGUUACAGACUGGGACCAGCAUCCAGGGGCAUCUGGACAGCAUCAUGGAAAGCCUUCAACCCUAUCUGCUUGCUGUGGGGACCAAGAAGAGUGUGAUUCACAAGCUCUUCAUGUGAUUGACAAACAUGCAAUACCUUCCCCUUUCUCAAUUCUCCCCUGUGUCCCUGAUGGAGCUGUUCAUCUUCACGGAAGGAAUGAGAAGCUCCACCUGCAUCCUGGACCCCAUCCCAUUCAAUCUUGUCAAGGACUGUCUCCCAGCCACCGCAGCGGCCCCUGCCAAAUUUCUCAGGGGAGGACAAUUGUUGCGAUGAUGGCUAAGGUUGCCUGUUUAAUGGAUGACCGGUCUCGACAUUGAGAAGGACCAGAUCAUUGAAAUGGCAUGAAUUAUUACUGACUCAGACCUGAACAUUUUGGCUGGGGGGCCCAACUUGAUAAUUAAACAGCAGGAUGAGUUGCUUGAUGGGAUGUCCGACUGGUGUAAAGAGCAUCAUGGAAAGUAGGUGGAAGCAGGUGGAAGACUUGGGGAAGUUGCUCUCCACCACAUCAACAUCCAAGUGUCUGGGAAGCACACUCCAUCCAACCCAGAACUGCAGGAGUUUCCCAAGGAAGUUUGGAGAUGCUACCAAAAACAGAACACUGCGUUAAGGCUAAGGCAGGUUUUGUUAUACUUUCUACAGAUACAGUUACCUCAUGCAGAAGAGCACAAAUGAGACAAAUUUGAAACUCAAUGAUCAUUGAUCCAAAGUGUAUUUAGCAUUUGAACAUAUUCCCAGUAACAUCUUCAGAGUGCACUGUUGCUAUCAGCAAAUAAUUUGACAGAAAUUGUUGAUUCAGGACAUUUUUUUUAAGUAAUGUAAUGCAAAUAUUAAUUUACCGUUCUCAAUAAAUUUGCGAAGGAAUCCUGUGAUCCUAAAGGUGUCCUCCAAAGAGACAUCACUGUCCUCAUCCUCAUCCUGCGUUGGCCACUUUAUGUUGUCCAAGACCAUCUGAGAGAUACAGUUGGGAUACAAGUGUUAAAAACAGUUAACACUUGUUUUUUCAAGCAGUCCAGAGUGUAUAUAUAGCACAAUAAAGUACAGCACAGGAAAUAUAAGAAGUUAUUCAUUCUAAUAAUUACAAUUGUUAUUUGAUCAGUAUGUGGUGGUAAGCAGUUUUGGAAGGGCCAUACUGGUGGUUUUGCAUGUGUAAGAUGACCAUGAUGAGUACUCUGCAUUCCUGUUGAGAGUUUUCAAAAUCAUAAUUUUUUGGAUUGAUUUCCUUCCUUUCAGGCAGCCGUUGUUGUUUCUGUGAAAAUUAACUCGCAGAGACUUCAGAACAACUCUCUUUGUGCACAGCUUGCUUAUCCAAUGAUAAAGUACAUUUGUAAGAGGGAACAAACACGGACUGAUUAUUCAUCUUCAAAAUAUUUCAUAUCUCUCCAGGUUAUUUUUGGUGUAAUAAACUGAAACCAGUGGUUGCCAGAAGGUAGAAAAUAAAACACGUUUAAGAUAGUAACUUCUGAGUUAGUAGUGUUUGUGCAGAAAGAUACUGUACGAUUAGUAGCAGCCUGAGUUCACUUACCCGUGGUGUGUACUCUGAAUCUGACGCUCUUGGAAAGAGAAGAGGAAUUGUGUCUUUCCUCUGUCAGCAAAGGCCACACCAGUGUCUCUUUUAAACCCUUUCGUAACUGUUUGACUUGUUUCGAGGUUCUUCCUAGGACCUGCAAAAUAUUUGUAUCACAACAGAAAAGUCAUGAAGCCUUACUAAUCUUCAACCGAUUGCCAUAUAAGCUAUCAUUAAUUUCUCAUCAACAAACAUCUGGGAGGUAUCUGACAAAAAGAAGGCCAAAUUUCAGUCUUUCAUCAAAACUCUUGAUUAGUUAGUGUGAUUUAUAUGAAGUCUUAAGUACAGAAUACUCACAGCAUGGAGUAGCAUUUUGUCAAGCAGCCAUCUCCUGUUUUCACAUGUGACUGGAGGCAAAUACCAGGACAGUGCCAACUCAUUGAUAAUGCUCUUUUCUUCAGAUGAUAACUCUGCUGUGUCAUCCAGCUAAUGAAAAUUUGAAUCGAUUCGAUUUCUGGAUUUCUCAAGAUUAAUAUUCCGUACAUCAAUCAUCAAAGUUGUCAAAUCAAACCACAUCAAACAUUUCAAUUUUAUAAAAAUUUCAUGUGGUCAGCAUGGUAGUAGUUUAUAACAUGGUAAAACUGUUGGUUUAGUACUCCCUGCUGGUGAAAAUAUUAACUGUAUGAUGUGAUUGUGGAAGAAUCCAAACAUUGACCUACUGAAUUAAGUUUUUUUUCUUAUUUAAUUAAUUUAUAUUUAAGCAUUUGUUAAUCAUUUCUUCCUGACUGAAAAUAUUAUUUUCAUUGUCCUAGCCCUAGUUAUUUUAAAAUCUUAUUGACAAAAUAUGUAUCGUACCACUUUGAUUAUCUCACGGAUAUCAUUGUCAGCACAGUCCUUAAUAUCUAUAGUGGCUUCUUCUGGGGAUCCACCAAAGAGCACAUGCAGGAUUGCUGGGCUCAGUCCACCCAGGCAUGGCCCAUCAUGCAGAAAUGAAUCGUCCAGCAACAACAAAUAAGUCACUCUCCAAAAGGAUAUGGGAAGUGGAGGGUAUCAGAUGAUAAUUUUCACCCUCAAAGAAUGGAAAAGUCAAAUCACAUAGAUUUUCAACUGGCAUACAGCAAUAGUAAAGGGAUUGUCAAUCAGCCACUGGAUAACCUGGUUGACUUUAUCCUGCAGAAACUUACAGGUUAAAAAAAGCUACAUUCACGUUCUUGGGGUGAUCUGGUUUCAGCCUGGAACCAGUAAAACCCAAACAGAACCAUGCACUGACAGACAACGGAAUGUUACCUUAACAAAGCAACAAAAGAAGGAGCUGCUAACACAUCUACAGUGGUCGAAUCUGGAGUGUGUCAUAAAACACAAGUGAAAUAUAUGAGAUAGUGAAAAUUAUAAUUUGUACUUCCCGAAAUGCAUCUCAAAACCAUGCUGAAGUUUAGACAUGAUGGUUGCAAAGAAAUGGCGAGUCACACCAUCGCCAAUUGCUGCAUCUCCUGAAAAAGCAAAACACACAGCACAGACUUCAGUUAACAGGAAAUAGGAUUUGAUCAUUUGUAAGUAAGUUAGUAAGUUGUAUGUUACCAAUACCCUUAAGGGUGCAUGUCAAGGGGCAGGCCCACUCAACAUUAGCCAUCUUAUAAAAAGAAAGGAUUGCCCUUUCCCUGUCCUCUGCACUGUCUCCAAGAUCCAUAGUAAGACUCAGUGCUUUCCUGGUUGCAUGCUGACUCAAAAUGUCUUCUUUGAAUGUCCUUGCUGCCUCUUUGGAAUUGGUGGCAAUUUUCCAAUCUAAAAAUAGAUUUACAAAUUUUCAAAUUAAUAUUGGGUCAAUUGAUAUGUGAGCGCAACUAUUCAUUGAAAUAUUUUAUGUAAUGUUCAAAAUAUGUAACAAACCAGAGAAGCUUCUCUCCUCAAUGGGAUCAAGAUCAAUUAUCUCUGGAGCAGGCACAUCUCCCUGAGGUGGCACUGAGUAGGUUGAGCUGCUGGCCCUCGCCGGCUCACUCUCCUGUCGUCUCCUCAACGUGCGCACAAAUAUACCUUCACUUCGGGAGGAGCUGGCCCUUUCUGUGCCUACCUCAGUCUCUCCCUCACCACUGCUCUGUGGUGGUCUUGGGUAAAAAUAGGUCAUUUUUGUUAUUAGGGUUAGUAUGUUUUGAAUUGUGUAACAUGAUUACAAAAACACUGCAAACUGGUGAAAAAUAUUAAAAUCAAACUUUUUCUUAA